Molecule: ribosomal RNA, 223 nt
Filed under: uncultured eukaryote
Lineage: Eukaryota
Description: partial 18S ribosomal RNA
Rfam family: Eukaryotic small subunit ribosomal RNA
Source: RNAcentral
GGCAACCUUACCAGGACAAGACGUAAGAAGGAUUGACAGACUGAUCGCUCUUUCUUGAUUUUAUGGGUGGUGGUGCAUGGCCGUUCUUAGUUCGUGGAGUAAUUUGUCUGGUUAAUUCCGUUAACGAACGAGACCUUAACUUGCUAAUUGGGAUGUGUAUUCUAUACAUAAUCCCUCUUAGAAGGACUAUGCGUAAAUAACACAAGGAAGCGUGAGGCAAUAA